UGGGGAAUAUUGCACAAUGGGCGCAAGCCUGAUGCAGCCAUGCCGCGUGUAUGAAGAAGGCCUUCGGGUUGUAAAGUACUUUCAGCGGGGAGGAAGGCGAUAAGGUUAAUAACCUCGUCGAUUGACGUUACCCGCAGAAGAAGUACCGGCUAACUCCGUGCCAGCAGCCGCGGUAAUACGGAGGGUGCAAGCGUUAAUCGGAAUUACUGGGCGUAAAGCGCACGCAGGCGGUCUGUCAAGUCGGAUGUGAAAUCCCCGGGCUCAACCUGGGAACUGCAUUCGAAACUGGCAGGCUAGAGUCUUGUAGAGGGGGGUAGAAUUCCAGGUGUAGCGGUGAAAUGCGUAGAGAUCUGGAGGAAUACCGGUGGCGAAGGCGGCCCCCUGGACAAAGACUGACGCUCAGGUGCGAAAGCGUGGGGAGCAAACA
This 427-nucleotide ribosomal RNA is filed under the name uncultured bacterium. RNAcentral's name for it is "partial 16S ribosomal RNA". It matches the Rfam family "Bacterial small subunit ribosomal RNA", at positions 355 to 774 of the family's 1533-position model. The record is from RNAcentral.